RNAcentral lists this ribosomal RNA (290 nucleotides) under uncultured bacterium. Its description in RNAcentral is "partial 16S ribosomal RNA". It matches the Rfam family "Bacterial small subunit ribosomal RNA", at positions 29 to 346 of the family's 1533-position model. The record is from RNAcentral.
AACGAACGCUGGCGGCAGGCCUAACACAUGCAAGUCGAGCGAGAACUUCGGUUCUAGCGGCGGACGGGUUAGUAACGCGUGGGAAUAUGCCCUUCACUACGGAAUAGUCCCGGGAAACUGGGUUUAAUACCGUAUACGCCCUUCGGGGGAAAGAUUUAUCGGUGAAGGAUUAGCCCGCGUUGGAUUAGGUAGUUGGUGGGGUAAUGGCCUACCAAGCCGACGAUCCAUAGCUGGUUUGAGAGGAUGAUCAGCAACACUGGGACUGAGACAUGAUCAAACCCUCUUCGUAG